AUUGAACGCUAGCGGGAUGCUUUACACAUGCAAGUCGAACGGCAGCGCGGACUUCGGUCUGGCGGCGAGGGGCGAACGGGUGAGUAAUGUAUCGGAACGUGCCCAGUAGCGGGGGAUAACUACGCGAAAGCGUAGCUAAUACCGCAUACGCCCUACGGGGGAAAGCAGGGGAUCGUAAGACCUUGCACUAUUUGAGCGGCCGAUAUCGGAUUAGCUAGUUGGUGAGGUAACGGCUCACCAAGGCGACGAUCCGUAGCUGGUUUGAGAGGACGACCAGCCACCCUGGGACUGAGACACGGCCCAGACUCCUACGGGAGGCAGCAGUGGGGAAUUUUGGACAAUGGGGGCAACCCUGAUCCAGCCAUCCCGCGUGUGGGAUGAAGGCCUUCGGGUUGUAAAGCACUUUUGGCAGGAAAGAAACGUCGCGGGCUAAUACCCCGUGGAACUGACGGUACCUGCAGAAUAAGCACCGGCUAACUACGUG
RNAcentral lists this ribosomal RNA (484 nucleotides) under uncultured bacterium. Its description in RNAcentral is "partial 16S ribosomal RNA". It matches the Rfam family "Bacterial small subunit ribosomal RNA", at positions 30 to 507 of the family's 1533-position model. The record is from RNAcentral.